ACUGUGUCUGUAGUGUCAGCAUUAAUGGGAAUAAAAACAUCAGGCUGAAGUCAGUGUCCAGUGGUUUGUGAGCCUGAUCUGAUCUGCAUGUAUGAUUUGUUUGCAGAUGUUUCUUCAUGUUUCUGUGGUUUCUCUGUCCUGUAGGUCAUGUGUGAUGGUGGUGCCGGACGUCGAUCUCAUCUGUGAGAUCAUGUUGGUGGCCGAGGGUUUGGCCAAAAAGUUCAUCACUCUCUAUCAGCUCUGCCAGGAGUCUCUCUCCAACAGAUUCAGAAGUCUUUAUACUGUAUAGUCUUAAAUUAUUGCUCCGAUGCCAUUACAAUUUCCCUAGAGGGCUGUUAGAGAUCAAGGCCUUUAGGGAGAGCAGUUUCUCUAGCGUUUCGAGGAAUGUUUACCCGUCAUUGGGACUUUAUUUGAUUGCGAUGUUAUGAGACACCCAAUUGCUUUCUAAUAAAAAUGCCAUCAAUCCCACUAUCGUACUUCUGUUACUCUAUAAAAUGUUUUUAGGUACAUUUGAUACACACUGUGAAAUAUGUGAAUGUGAAGCUGAACAAUCAAAGUCUUUAUUAUUAAACAGUGUGUGACCGCGUUUGGCCUGCAGUAGUUGAUUGGACUCUCUCAGUCUCACCGUCACAGGAUCACUGGGCUCUGCGGGCUGUUAGGUCAGUGCUGGUCGUGGCCGAUUCCCUGAAGAGAGGAGAUCCGCGCAGACCAGAGGACCAGGUGCUGAUGAGAGCCUUGAGAUGGUGAUCGAUGACAUGCCUGUCUUCAAGGGCCUCGUCAGGACCUCUUCCCGGCGCUCGAUGUGCCACGGAAAAGGGAUAUGGACUUUGAUAAAUUUGUCAAGCAGUCCGUGUUGGAUGUCAAACUACAGGCCGAGGACAACUUUGUGCUCAAGGCGUUCUGUACAUCAACCCUGCUGAUUUAGGCUGGAAUCCACCUGUGUGGAGCUGGAUUGACCGGAGAGAAGGCCAAUCUGACCAUUCUGCUGGACAAUUUCUGCCCAAAUUUCUAUAUAUCCUAAUUAUUGUUAAUAUGUAAUUCAUUUUUCCAGGAGCUCUUUGCUUCUACCUUCAAUUAAAUUGCUAACAGUGAUUGUAAAUUAAUUGCCUAAAUUAUUACAUUAUUAGCUAACUGCAUUCUCUAAAUUGUAAUGUUGACAUGCAUUCUCUGUAAAGCUGCUUUGAAACGAUAUGUAUUGUGAAAAGCGCUAUACAAAUAAAUGUGAAUUGAAUUGAAUUGGACAAUACCUCCCAUCAUGCCUCGAUACUCUCAGGUCAAGGUGCGGCACCAGAUGCUUUCCUCUCUAAGUUAGAAACGACAUACCAGUUUUGAAUUCUGGCUCUCUCUUUCAGCCUCCCUAGAGCCGGACUAACGCUCAACUCAUUAAUAUUAAUUAGGUCCCAUAACUAAGAAUUCUAAGAAGAUUUAGCAACAUCAGCAUGAACUGAUUAAUAUUCAUGAGCUACACUUCUUAUGCGCUCUAUGUACCCUUUACUGGUGUUAUUUUAGUAUACUAUUAGAGUUUUUAUUCAUAUUUUGAAUUAGUUUUUUUUAUUUAUUUAUUUUUUAUUUUAAAGUCUUAGUAAUUUUGUUGUGGGUUUUUAUCAUUUGUAUGUUUUUUUUUUUUUUUUUUUGUCUAUAUAGUGUUUUUAUUAUUAUUUUAGUGCAUCAAGUUAAACUAAAUGAAAAUGAGAAAUGUUGACUUGGCCACUAGCUGAAAUAAAAUAAGUUUAAGGUUUUAUAUUUUAUGUCAGUUAUCAUUUAUUUUAUUUUAGUGAGGGUGAGUUCCAUUGAUCCAGUGUUUUGAGUGUUGAAGGUGUUGAUCUGUCUGUCCUGAUCCAGGUUUAAGAAGAUCAUCCCUGUUCCUGAUCAGAUGCUGUUCCUCGUCCCAGAACACACAGCUAUAAGGAUCCGUACCAGCUCUUCUUCGUCUUCGCCGCUGUCGGGGCCUUCGGAGGGACCGUGUUCCAGGAUCAGGCCUGCCUCGUCCACACCUGCAGAGGCCGUCCGCGAGCGCUGCUUCAUGGACCGGCUGCUGGAGAGGCGGCGGCCCGUCAUGCUGGUGGGCGACGCUGGCACCGGGAAGUCUGUUCUGGUGGGAGACGAGCUCGGCUCCUCGGACCCAGAGAAAUACGCCAUCAAGAACGUCUCCUUCAACUGCUGCAGCACGUCAGCCGUGUUCAGGGUGUGUUUGUGUGCGUUUCCCUCCUUACAUUUGACCCUGAAAGCAGAAGUGCAACUUCACUGGCUUCUGGACAUUGACAGAUCUUUGUGAUCUAAAGCAAACACCCAUGGCUCUUUUCUCCAGGCGUCAGCUGUUUUUGUGCCGUCCCUGUCUUUUUGCAAUCUGUUGUUCUGAUAUUUAUCCCUCCGCAUCAUGUGACGUUCGUACGCUCAAACCAGACCAAACCAGAGCGCACAGAUUCACAAUCACAUGCUUAUUUUAUUAAUAACUUUACUUUGACACAAUCAAUGUACGGCCCGGAACUGUUAAAAAAUAUAUAUUAAAAUUAUUAUUAUUCAUGUUCUUAAUCAAAAAAUGAUACGAGUUGUUUUAUUUUAUAUUCAUUUUAUAUGAAGUUUGCAAGUUUUGCAACCCAGCAGAAAUGAUUUAUGAUUUUUAUUUUCUAGCAAGCACCAAUUUAUUAUUUAGUUUUGGUGUUUAUUUAGCGAUUGCUAGAAAAUAAA
Ctenopharyngodon idella (grass carp) is the source of this 2688-nucleotide long non-coding RNA. RefSeq lists it as uncharacterized. The transcript has 3 exons. NCBI's taxonomy places the organism in Eukaryota, Metazoa, Chordata, Actinopteri, Cypriniformes, Xenocyprididae. The record is from RefSeq and is a predicted model, not a curated record.